UACGUAGGGGGCAAGCGUUGUCCGGAUUUACUGGGCGUAAAGAGCGUGUAGGCGGUCAAAUAGGUCCGUUGUGAAAACUGGAGGCUCAACCUCCAGACGUCGACGGAAACCGCGUGGCUAGAGUCCGGAAGAGGAGAGUGGAAUUCCUGGUGUAGCGGUGAAAUGCGUAGAUAUCUGGAAGAACACCGGUGGCGAAGGCGGCCUUCUGGACGGUGACUGACGCUGAGACGCGAAAGCGUGGGGAGCAAACAGG
RNAcentral lists this ribosomal RNA (253 nucleotides) under uncultured bacterium. RNAcentral's name for it is "partial 16S ribosomal RNA". It matches the Rfam family "Bacterial small subunit ribosomal RNA", at positions 524 to 776 of the family's 1533-position model. The record is from RNAcentral.